Long non-coding RNA from Physella acuta, 527 nucleotides. RefSeq lists it as uncharacterized. NCBI's taxonomy places the organism in Eukaryota, Metazoa, Mollusca, Gastropoda, Physidae. The record is from RefSeq and is a predicted model, not a curated record.
GUGGAACUCGAAGGUGCAAAUGGAUUUUCUGAAGCUCUUAAAGGCGGUAAAGUGUCUUGUGAUUUUACCAAACACUCUAUAGCGAUCGGUCUUUCAUAAGCCCAGCCAGCUAAUAACGCUCUAGAAAUUGGGAGAAAAGUUAUUGACAAAAUAGUAAGAGUCAGUGAAGAGAGUGUCUCUAAGGCGAUACUGAAGAUGUUGGUGGAGGAAAAGACUGUUGUGGAGGGGGCAGGAGCAGUGGGUGUCGCGGCCGUAAUUGAGGGACUCUUGCCUGAGCUAGAAAACAAAAAGGUUGUCGUUCUACUGACAGGAGGCAACAUAGAGUUAUCUAACUUGUCAAGGAUCAUAGAAAGUGGCUAAACCAAGCUGAGUCUUAAAUGUUACCGGUGGAGGCUAGUCUCCCAUGGACGUCCGCACACGAUUGGAAAAUUGUAGUUUAGUGUUUGUUACAGAAUUAAAAACGUGCUUUUUUCUUUCAUUACAACUUGCUCAAAUAUCUAUAACGAGCCGACCCGCGGCAUAUCAUA